Molecule: ribosomal RNA, 450 nt
Filed under: uncultured bacterium
Lineage: Bacteria
Description: partial 16S ribosomal RNA
Rfam family: Bacterial small subunit ribosomal RNA
Source: RNAcentral
GUGGGGAAUAUUGGACAAUGGGCGCAAGCCUGAUCCAGCCAUGCCGCGUGUGUGAAGAAGGCCUUCGGGUUGUAAAGCACUUUUGUUGGGAAAGAAAUCCUGUCGGCUAAUACCCGGCGGGGAUGACGGUACCCAAAGAAUAAGCACCGGCUAACUUCGUGCCAGCAGCCGCGGUAAUACGAAGGGUGCAAGCGUUACUCGGAAUUACUGGGCGUAAAGCGUGCGUAGGUGGUUCGUUAAGUCAGAUGUGAAAGCCCCGGGCUCAACCUGGGAAUUGCAUUUGAUACUGGCGGACUAGAGUGCGGUAGAGGAGAGUGGAAUUCCCGGUGUAGCAGUGAAAUGCGUAGAGAUCGGGAGGAACAUCAGUUGCGAAGGCGGCUCUCUGGACCAGCACUGACACUGAGACACGAAAGCGUGGGGAGCAAACAGGAUUAGAAACCCGGGUAGUCC